UCAAGAAUCUUCCUCAAUGGGCGAAAGCCUGAAGGAGCGACGCCGCGUGUAUGAAGAAGCCCCUCGGGGCGUAAAGUACUUUUCUCUGGGACGAAACAAUGACGGUACCAGAGGAAUAAGGAGCUGCUAACCUCGUGCCAGCAGCAGCGGUAAUACGAGGGCUCCAAGCGUUAUCCGGAAUUACUGGGCGUAAAGAGUGUGUAGGCGGUUUGCCGCAUUUUCUGUUAAAUCCCGAGGCUCAACUUCGGAACCGCAGAAAAGAUGGGUAAACUAGAGGUCGGGAGAGGCGAGUGGAAUUGCCGGUGUAGGGGUUAAAUCCGUUAAUAUCGGCAGGAACACCAAAUGCGAAGGCAGCUCGCUAGAACGAUUCUGACGCUGAGACACGAAAGCGUGGGGAGCGAAUGGG
Molecule: ribosomal RNA, 406 nt
Filed under: uncultured bacterium
Lineage: Bacteria
Description: bacterial SSU rRNA
Rfam family: Bacterial small subunit ribosomal RNA
Source: RNAcentral